This 1312-nucleotide long non-coding RNA is filed under the name Homo sapiens (human). RNAcentral's name for it is "HSALNT0344876". The record is from RNAcentral. Lineage: Eukaryota; Metazoa; Chordata; Mammalia; Primates; Hominidae.
UUUUGUUUUGUUUUAAAAAAUGUGGUAAAAUAGACACCUUUUAAUUGGACCACAUUUUGUCUAUCUCGACGUAGGCCUCAGUGUCAUCAAGGAGACUCUGCUUGACAUGCAGUCAAGGCCAUGAUCCAUCUUCAGAGCUUCUCUUUCUUCCCCAAGGCUGGCGCUGAGAUGGGCAGGUGCUGCAGCAGCCCCGCUGGAAGCGAUGCAGCAUCCAGGACGACGGAGGAAGGGGCGGAGAGGGACCUCUGCUUUCCAGGCUGCCUUUUAUACUGCCUCUGGUCACCUGACAUGGAACGUACCCUAACCUAAUCAGUUACCUGUACCUUAAUUGCAAUUAACUUAAUCCAAUUACAUGACCUGGAAAGGUCUAUCUGCACAGCCCACUCUAAGAUCCUGUCCACUGCUGACAGACAUUCUAAAACCUACUUGUACAGCUGCAAGCUUUGAACAAUAGAUGUUCCCCGUCAGACAUGUAACACUGGUGCCUGUAUCCCUGUCUUCUUUUCCAUCUUUUUUGUUGUUUUGUUUUGUUUCGUUUUAAAAAAUGUGGUAAAAUAGACACCUUUUAAUUGGACCACAUUUUGUCUCUCUCGACGUAGGCCUCAGUGUCAUCAAGGAGACUCUCCUUGACAUGCAGUCACGGCCAUGAUCCAUCUUCAGAGCUUCUCUUUCUUCCCCAAGGAGGCGCUUGGAAACCACCGUGAAUUGGACCGCACUGGGAAACACAGAUGAGGAAAGUCAACAACGCUUUGUCCUUCAGUGCCUGCCUCCUUUUUCAGCUCGUCUUGCGACUCCCGGACGCCUGUGAGGCUGUAAUUCCCUGGGUCCCAUUGCCAUGUCUCUGGAUUUGCGAAGAUCCACCGCACCUUCUGUGGAACUCCCGUGUCGGUGAACUUUUGUGCCACGGCCCCUAAUUCUGCCCAUGGUCAUCCGCACCUGCACGACUUAGGGUCCAUGUUCCUUGGACGGGAAGAGACAGGCAGGAGUCGGAAUGAUGAACCAGCACACUGGGGCGUUUUCUCAUGUAGCCCAAGUGACCCCAUGGUCUUCUCGAGCUUUGGAACCAGUCGCGUCCCCUUUGACACUGCACCCGGCUCCCAGUCUCUCAAUCUUGUUGGCCCUCCGGCGAUCUCCCGUUGGAUGAAUUGCUCCUGCUGAAACUCCAGUCCCCUUUGAUUUGCGCUUCAUUAAUUAUUCAUGAUUCAGGUUGGAAGGCCUGCUGACGACCCCCUGUGGCCGUUCUCUGAGCUUUCCUGUCACAUCGUUUCCUUCCACGCUCUUUGGUUCCUUAUGGUCCUGCUCCCUCUGCUGU